RNAcentral lists this transfer RNA (73 nucleotides) under Sphaerodactylus townsendi. Its description in RNAcentral is "tRNA-Ala". The record is from RNAcentral. Lineage: Eukaryota; Metazoa; Chordata; Lepidosauria; Squamata; Sphaerodactylidae.
GUGUGGCUCUGAGGUAGAGCAUCUGCUUUGCAUGCAGAAGGUUCCAGGUUCUAAUCCCAAGUUGAAAAGACCA